CUACGGGUUGCUCCAGUGGGGAAUAUUACACAAUGGAGGAAACUCUGAUGUAGCAACGCCGCGUGGAGGAUGACACAUUUCGGUGCGUAAACUCCUUUUAUUAGGGAAGAUAAUGACGGUACCUAAUGAAUAAGCACCGGCUAACUCCGUGCCAGCAGCCGCGGUAAUACGGAGGGUGCAAGCGUUACUCGGAAUCACUGGGCGUAAAGCGCGCGCAGGCGGCCUGAUAAGUUGGAUGUGAAAUCCUAUGGCUUAACCAUAGAACUGCAUCCAAAACUGUUAGGCUAGAGUCUGGGAGGGGAAGAUGGAAUUAGUUGUGUAGGGGUAAAAUCCGUAGAGAUAACUAGGAAUAUCAAAAGCGAAGGCGAUCUUCUGGAACAGUACUGACGCUGAGGCGCGAAAGCGUGGGGAGCAAACAGGAUUAGAUACCCCCGUAGUC
RNAcentral lists this ribosomal RNA (439 nucleotides) under uncultured bacterium. RNAcentral describes it as "partial 16S ribosomal RNA". It matches the Rfam family "Bacterial small subunit ribosomal RNA", at positions 339 to 795 of the family's 1533-position model. The record is from RNAcentral.